Long non-coding RNA from Symphalangus syndactylus (siamang), 261 nucleotides. RefSeq lists it as uncharacterized. Lineage: Eukaryota; Metazoa; Chordata; Mammalia; Primates; Hylobatidae. The record is from RefSeq and is a predicted model, not a curated record.
UCCAGAGUGUUCAGAAAUAUCAAAUAUGAGCUGAAUAAGAAGUGGAAAGAGAAGGAUUCCUCCCUUCCACAGACUACAAACCUGGCUGAUAGACGGAAUAUUUCACUUUAGAUCAAAUGAUUCACAGUCAUCUUUGUCGAUAUUACAACAUAGUGACCACUCAACUGUCUUCAAUGGUAUUUGACUACAUGGAUUCUGUAAAUAGGCGAAGCUUAAGAACACUAUUUUUUUUUCCAAGUGCAAUAUACUGUAGUCAUAAGA